GACCAUGGCGCAGGCUACCAUGCAGUCGAGCGGAUGACGGGAGCUUGCUCCUUGAUUCAGCGGCGGACGGGUGAGUAAUGCCUAGGAAUCUGCCUGGUAGUGGGGGACAACGUUUCGAAAGGAACGCUAAUACCGCAUACGUCCUACGGGAGAAAGCAGGGGACCUUCGGGCCUUGCGCUAUCAGAUGAGCCUAGGUCGGAUUAGCUAGUUGGUGGGGUAAUGGCUCACCAAGGCGACGAUCCGUAACUGGUCUGAGAGGAUGAUCAGUCACACUGGAACUGAGACACGGUCCAGACUCCUACGGGAGGCAGCAGUGGGGAAUAUUGGACAAUGGGCGAAAGCCUGAUCCAGCCAUGCCGCGUGUGUGAAGAAGGUCUUCGGAUUGUAAAGCACUUUAAGUUGGGAGGAAGGGCAGUAAGUUAAUACCUUGCUGUUUUGACGUUACCGACAGAAUAAGCACCGGCUAACUCUGUGCCAGCAGCCGCGGUAAUACAGAGGGUGCAAGCGUUAAUCGGAAUUACUGGGCGUAAAGCGCGCGUAGGUGGUUCGUUAAGUUGGAUGUGAAAGCCCCGGGCUCAACCUGGGAACUGCAUCCAAAACUGGCGAGCUAGAGUACGGUAGAGGGUGGUGGAAUUUCCUGUGUAGCGGUGAAAUGCGUAGAUAUAGGAAGGAACACCAGUGGCGAAGGCGACCACCUGGACUGAUACUGACACUGAGGUGCGAAAGCGUGGGGAGCAAACAGGAUUAGAUACCCUGGUAGUCCACGCCGUAAACGAUGUCAACUAGCCGUUGGAAUCCUUGAGAUUUUAGUGGCGCAGCUAACGCAUUAAGUUGACCGCCUGGGGAGUACGGCCGCAAGGUUAAAACUCAAAUGAAUUGACGGGGGCCCGCACAAGCGGUGGAGCAUGUGGUUUAAUUCGAAGCAACGCGAAGAACCUUACCAGGCCUUGACAUGCAGAGAACUUUCCGAAGAUGGAUUGGUGCCUUCGGGAACUCUGACACAGGUGCUGCCUGGGCUGUCGUCAGCUCGUGUCCGUGAGAUGUUGGGUUAAAGUCCCGUAACAGAGGCAACCCUUUGUCCUUAGUUACCAGCACGUUAUGGUGGGCACUUCUAAGGAAACUGCCCGGUGACAAACCCGGAGGAAGGUGGGGGAUGACGUCAAGAUCAUCAGGGGCCCUUACGGGCCGGGGCUACCACCUUGCUUACAAUGGGUCGGUAACAAAGGUUUUGCCAAGCCCGCGAGGGGGGAGCUUAAUUUCACAAAAACCGAUCGUAAUUCCGGAAUCCCGAGUUCGGGAACUUCCAUUCCGUGGGAAAUCCGGAAUUCCUUAAGAAAACCCGCAAAUCUAAAAAGUCUCCGGUGGAAAAACGUUCCCCGGGCCUUUGAACAAACCCGCCCCGUAACACAUGGGAAAGUGGGUUGCCCCCAAAGAAGUAUAGGUUACAACCUCUCGGGGGAGCGGUUCACCUCGCUGGUUAUUGCAACCGUGGUGAAGCCUCACUCCAGGGUACGGCUCAUAUGAGGCGGCCCCCCCACCGCACAAG
RNAcentral lists this ribosomal RNA (1547 nucleotides) under Pseudomonas monteilii. RNAcentral's name for it is "bacterial SSU rRNA". It matches the Rfam family "Bacterial small subunit ribosomal RNA". The record is from RNAcentral. Lineage: Bacteria; Pseudomonadati; Pseudomonadota; Gammaproteobacteria; Pseudomonadales; Pseudomonadaceae.